Molecule: ribosomal RNA, 207 nt
Filed under: uncultured bacterium
Lineage: Bacteria
Description: partial 16S ribosomal RNA
Rfam family: Bacterial small subunit ribosomal RNA
Source: RNAcentral
CGUGUAGGCGGUUACGUAAGUUGAAUGUGAAAUCCCACGGCUUAACCGUGGAACUGCAUUCAAGACUGCGCGACUUGAGGAUGGGAGAGGAGAAUGGAAUUCCCGGUGUAAGGGUGAAAUCUGUGGAUAUCGGGAGGAACACCAGUGGCGAAGGCGAUUCUCUGGCCCGUUUCUGACGCUGAGAAGCGAAAGCGUGGGGAGCAAACA